Molecule: transfer RNA, 65 nt
Filed under: Sepioteuthis lessoniana
Lineage: Eukaryota; Metazoa; Mollusca; Cephalopoda; Myopsida; Loliginidae
Description: tRNA-Thr
Source: RNAcentral
ACCUAUCACUAUAGUUUAAAUAAAACAUCGGUCUUGUAAACCGAAAUUAGAUCAUUUCUUUGUGG